RNAcentral lists this ribosomal RNA (497 nucleotides) under uncultured bacterium. RNAcentral's name for it is "partial 16S ribosomal RNA". It matches the Rfam family "Bacterial small subunit ribosomal RNA", at positions 28 to 507 of the family's 1533-position model. The record is from RNAcentral.
GAUGAACGCUGGCGGCGUGCCUAAUACAUGCAAGUCGAGCGAACGGACGAGAAGCUUGCUUCUCUGAUGUUAGCGGCGGACGGGUGAGUAACACGUGGAUAACCUACCUAUAAGACUGGGAUAACUUCGGGAAACCGGAGCUAAUACCGGAUGAUAUUUUGAACCGCAUGGUUCAAAAGUGAAAGACGGUCUUGCUGUCACUUAUAGAUGGAUCCGCGCUGCAUUAGCUAGUUGGUAAGGUAACGGCUUACCAAGGCAACGAUGCAUAGCCGACCUGAGAGGGUGAUCAGCCACACUGGAACUGAGACACGGUCCAGACUCCUACGGGAGGCAGCAGUAGGGAAUCUUGCGCAAUGGGCGAAAGCCUGACGGAGCAACACCGCGUGAGUGAUGAAGGUCUUCGGAUCGUAAAACUCUUUUAUUAGGAAAGAACAUAUGUGUAAGUAACUGUGCACAUCUUGACGGUACCUAAUCAGAAAGCCACGGCUAACUACGUG